UUAUUACGCCUCCGUCAGGAAAUACUUGUCAUAAUGAAUAAAAGAAGAUAUAUCUAGACAUAUAUUAGUUUUAGAUACAUUUUUUUAUUCAUUUUGAUGACAAGUAUUUUUGGACGGAGGGAGUAGAAG
Non-coding RNA from Triticum aestivum (bread wheat), 129 nucleotides. The record is from Rfam. NCBI's taxonomy places the organism in Eukaryota, Viridiplantae, Streptophyta, Magnoliopsida, Poales, Poaceae.